RNAcentral lists this long non-coding RNA (337 nucleotides) under Carica papaya (papaya). RNAcentral describes it as "long non-coding RNA (CPAP_LNC008328)". The record is from RNAcentral. Lineage: Eukaryota; Viridiplantae; Streptophyta; Magnoliopsida; Brassicales; Caricaceae.
UAAAAAGAUUUCGAAAAAAUAGAGAAAAAUGCAAAAAUCCCGCAGGAACGCCCACAUGAGGGAUCCCACCAACGCAGGCUCUAUAAGCCACUGGUUGGGCGGCCUACUGUCGUCACUUAGGUGACGUUCGUCAUUUGGGUGGCAUGCCUUUGGUUUUUGUGCCGCUGUCACAUCGCAUCGUCCAUCUGUCAACCACAUCUGUCGAUCACAUCCGUCAGUCGUCACAUCUCACAUUUUCCAUUGACUUUCUCUCUCUUCACAGUAUUUUGUCACUUGACACAAAUUUAAUGGUCCCCAUUUUCUAUAAAUAGGGACCCUCACUUCACCAUUUACUCAU